GGGUUGGUAGCUCAGUGGUAGAGCAUUCGGCUUUUAACCGACUGGCCGAGGGUUCAAGUCCCUCCCAACCCA
This 72-nucleotide transfer RNA is filed under the name Trebouxia aggregata. RNAcentral's name for it is "tRNA-Lys". It matches the Rfam family "tRNA". From Rfam's summary of the family: Transfer RNA (tRNA) molecules are approximately 80 nucleotides in length. Their secondary structure includes four short double-helical elements and three loops (D, anti-codon, and T loops). The record is from RNAcentral. RNAcentral also lists the same sequence under 2 other names. Lineage: Eukaryota; Viridiplantae; Chlorophyta; Trebouxiophyceae; Trebouxiales; Trebouxiaceae.